UACGUAGGGUGCAAGCGUUAAUCGGAAUUACUGGGCGUAAAGCGUGCGCAGGCGGUUCUAUAAGACAGAUGUGAAAUCCCCGGGCUCAACCUGGGAACUGCAUUUGUGACUGUAGAGCUGGAGUACGGCAGAGGGGGAUGGAAUUCCGCGUGUAGCAGUGAAAUGCGUAGAUAUGCGGAGGAACACCGAUGGCGAAGGCAAUCCCCUGGGCCUGUACUGACGCUCGUGCACGAAAGCGUGGGGAGCAAACAGG
This 253-nucleotide ribosomal RNA is filed under the name uncultured bacterium. RNAcentral's name for it is "partial 16S ribosomal RNA". It matches the Rfam family "Bacterial small subunit ribosomal RNA", at positions 524 to 776 of the family's 1533-position model. The record is from RNAcentral.